ACGAACGCUGGCGGCAUGCUUAACACAUGCAAGUCGAACGAGAAAGCUCUUCGGAGUGAGUAGAGUGGCGCACGGGUGAGUAAUGCAUAGGAACAUACCAUGUAGUGGGGAAUAACUGUUGGAAACGACAGCUAAUACCGCAUAAUCAGGAAACUGGAAAGUUGGCCUCUCCUUGGAAGCUAGCGCUAUUUGAUUGGCCUAUGUCCCAUUAGCUAGUUGGUAAGGUAACGGCUUACCAAGGCUCCGAUGGGUAGCGGGUCUGAGAGGACGAUCCGCCACACUGGAACUGAGACACGGUCCAGACUCCUACGGGAGGCAGCAGUGGGGAAUUUUGCACAAUGGACGCAAGUCUGAUGCAGCAAUGCCGCGUGAGUGAAGAAGGCCCUUGGGUUGUAAAUCUCUUUCGAGUGAAAAGAAGGGGACAGUUGCGAAUAGUCUCUGUUCUUGACGGUAUCACUAUAAGAAGCACCGGCUAACUCCGUGCCAGCAGCCGCGGUAAUACGGAGGGUGCAAGCGUUGUUCGGAAUUACUGGGCGUAAAGCGCUCGUAGGCGGACUUAUAAGUCAGUUGUGAAAGCCCGGGGCCCAACCCCGGAAUUGCAAUUGAAACUGUGAGUCUUGAAUAUCUGAGAGGGUGGGGGAAUUCCUGGUGUAGAAGUGAAAUUCGUAGAUAUCAGGAGGAACAUCUGAGGCGAAGGCGCCUACCUGGCAGAAUAUUGACGCUGAGGAGCGAAAGCGUGGGGAGCAAACAGGAUUAGAUACCCUGGUAGUCCACGCCGUAAACGAUGGAUACUAGGUGUUCGGAGAUUAACCCUCUGAGUACCAAAGCUAACGCAUUAAGUAUCCCGCCUGGGGAGUACGGUCGCAAGGCUAAAACUCAAAGGAAUUGACGGGGGCCCGCACAAGCGGUGGAGUAUGUGGUUUAAUUCGAAGCUACGCGCAGAACCUUACCUGGUCUUGACAUCCUGUGACAAUCCAAGAGAUUGGACUUUACCUUCGGGUACAUAGUGACAGGUGCUGCAUGGCUGUCGUCAGCUCGUGUCGUAAGAUGUUAGGUUAAGUCCUGCAACGAGCGCAACCCCUGUUUUUAGUUGCCAGCAUUAAGUUGGGCACUCUAGAAAGACUGCCGGUGUUAAACCGGAGGAAGGCGGGGAUGACGUCAAGUCCUCAUGGCCCUUACGACCAGGGCUACACACGUACUACAAUGGUAGAAACAAACAGUUGCGAAGCCGCGAGGUGGAGCCAAUCUGUAAAACACUAUCUCAGUCCGGAUUGAAGUCUGCAACUCGACUUCAUGAAGCUGGAAUCGCUAGUAAUCGGAGAUCAGCACGCUUCGGUGAAUACGUUCCCGGGCCUUGUACUCACCGC
Molecule: ribosomal RNA, 1367 nt
Filed under: uncultured prokaryote
Description: partial 16S ribosomal RNA
Rfam family: Bacterial small subunit ribosomal RNA
Source: RNAcentral